RNAcentral lists this small nuclear RNA (275 nucleotides) under Fukomys damarensis (Damara mole-rat). RNAcentral describes it as "7SK RNA". It matches the Rfam family "7SK RNA". Rfam says of the family: 7SK was discovered as an abundant small nuclear RNA in the mid-70s but a possible function has only recently been suggested. Lineage: Eukaryota; Metazoa; Chordata; Mammalia; Rodentia; Bathyergidae. The record is from Rfam by way of RNAcentral.
GGAUGUGAGGGAGGUCAUUCUUGCUGUGACAUCUCUCACCCCAUUAAUUGGCUGAUUCAACUGAUCUGGUUGGCAAGAUAGGUGCCCUCUUCCUCCCUCACCACUCCAUGUGCAUCCCUACCAAAGCUGCACACUUGGUGCGAGAGUACCCUCAGCCAAGGGCAUAUGAGUAGCUGAGCUUCCCUGCUAGGCCCUCCAAACAAGCUCUCAAAAAGAAGAGAAGUAAGGGAGGAGCUGAAGACAAGGACACACCCUUCCAGGUCAUGACCCCAGGG